GCCUCUGUGGCCAAGUGGUAAGGCGUCGGUCUCGUAAACCGAAGAUCCAGGGUUCGAUCCCCUGUGGAGGCA
This is a non-coding RNA of Biomphalaria glabrata, 72 nucleotides long. The record is from the annotation of a RefSeq genome assembly. Lineage: Eukaryota; Metazoa; Mollusca; Gastropoda; Planorbidae.